RNAcentral lists this ribosomal RNA (253 nucleotides) under uncultured bacterium. Its description in RNAcentral is "partial 16S ribosomal RNA". It matches the Rfam family "Bacterial small subunit ribosomal RNA", at positions 524 to 776 of the family's 1533-position model. The record is from RNAcentral.
UACGUAGGCAGCAAGCGUUGUUCGGAAUUACUGGGCUUAAAGGGUGCGUAGGCUGUGCAGAAAGUUAGGUGUGAAAUCCCCCGGCUCAACCGGGGAAUUGCGCUUAAAACUACUGUGCUAGAGGAAGACAGAGGUGAGCGGAACUUCGGGUGGAGCGGUGAAAUGCGUUGAUAUCCGAAGGAACACCGGUGGCGAAAGCGGCUCACUGGGUCUUUUCUGACGCUGAUGCACGAAAGCUAGGGGAGCAAACGGG